GGACUACAAGGGUAUCUAAUCCUGUUUGAUCCCCACGCUUUCGGGUCUCAGUGUCAGUGUUUGGCCAGUCACCCGCCUUCGCCUCCGGUGUUCCACCUGAUAUCUACGUAUUUCACCACUACACCAGGUAUUCCGAUGACCUCUCCAACACUCAAGCUUCGCAGUAUCAAAUGCACUUCCAGGGUUGAGCCCUGGGCUUUCACACCUGACUUACAAAGCCACCUACACCCGCUUUACGCCCAAUGAUUCCGAGCAACGCUAGGAUCCCUCGUCUUACCGCGGCUGCUGGCAC
Molecule: ribosomal RNA, 292 nt
Filed under: uncultured bacterium
Lineage: Bacteria
Description: partial 16S ribosomal RNA
Source: RNAcentral